AACGAACGCUGGCGGCAUGCCUAACACAUGCAAGUCGAACGAACCCUUCGGGGUUAGUGGCGCACGGGUGCGGAACGCGUGGGAAGCUGCCCUUUGCUUCGGAAUAACUCAGGGAAACUUGGGCUAAUACCGGAUGAGGUCUUCGGACCAAAGAUUUAUCGGCAGGGGAUGAGCCCGCGUAGGAUUAGGUAGUUGGUGGGGUAAAGGCCUACCAAGCCGACGAUCCUUAGCUGGUCUGAGAGGAUGAUCAGCCACACUGGGACUGAGACACGGCCCAGACUCCUACGGGAGGCAGCAGUGCGGGAUAUUGGACGAUGGGCGCAAGCCUGAUCCAGCGAUGCCGCGUGAGUGAUGAAGGCCCUCGGGUCGUACAGCUCUUUUACCAGGGAUGAUAAUGACGGUACCUGGAGAAUAAGCUCCGGCUAACUCCGUG
RNAcentral lists this ribosomal RNA (433 nucleotides) under uncultured bacterium. RNAcentral describes it as "partial 16S ribosomal RNA". It matches the Rfam family "Bacterial small subunit ribosomal RNA", at positions 29 to 507 of the family's 1533-position model. The record is from RNAcentral.